This 885-nucleotide ribosomal RNA is filed under the name uncultured bacterium. RNAcentral describes it as "bacterial SSU rRNA". It matches the Rfam family "Bacterial small subunit ribosomal RNA", at positions 8 to 901 of the family's 1533-position model. The record is from RNAcentral.
AGAGUUUGAUCCUGGCUCAGGACGAACGCUGGCGGCGCGCCUAAAACAAUGCAAUGUCGGACGGAGAAGCCCGGGCCUUGCCCUGGUGUACAGUGGCGAACGGGUGAUUAACACGUGAGGAACCUGCCUCGAAGACCGGGACAACUCCGGGAAACCGGUGUUAAUACCGGAUGCCUUCGACCGGAUCGCAUGGUCUGGUGAAGAAAUGGAUUCCGCUUCGGGGAUGGCCUCGCGGCCUAUCAGUUAGUUGGUGAGGUAACGGCUCACCAAGGCGACGACGGGUAGCUGGUCUGAGAGGAUGUCCAGCCACACUGGGACUGAGACACGGCCCAGACUCCUACGGGAGGCAGCAGUUAGGAAUCUUGCGCAAUGGACGAAAGUCUGACGCAGCGACGCCGCGUGCGGGAUGAAGGCCCUCGGGUUGUAAACCGCUUUCAGCAGGGACGAAAUUGACGGUACCUGCAGAAGAAGCCCCGGCCAACUACGUGCCAGCAGCCGCGGUAAUACGUAGGGGGCAAGCGUUGUCCGGAUUUAUUGGGCGUAAAGAGCUCGUAGGUGGUUCGGUAAGUCGGAUGUGAAAUCUCCAGGCUCAACCUGGAGGGGUCAUUCGAUACUGCCGUGACUAGAGUUCGGUAGGGGAGUGUGGAAUUCCUGGUGGAGCGGUGAAAUGCGCAGAUAUCAGGAGGAACACCCGUAGCGAAGGCGGCACUCUGGGCCGAUACUGACACUGAGUAGCGAAAGCGUGGGGAGCGAACAGGAUUAGAUACCCUGGUAGUCCACGCCGUAAACGUUGGGCACUAGGUGUGGGACUCUAUCGACGGGUUCCGUGCCGUAGCUAACGCAUUAAGUGCCCCGCCUGGGGAGUACGGCCGCAAGGCUAAAACU